This 504-nucleotide ribosomal RNA is filed under the name uncultured bacterium. RNAcentral describes it as "bacterial SSU rRNA". It matches the Rfam family "Bacterial small subunit ribosomal RNA", at positions 28 to 517 of the family's 1533-position model. The record is from RNAcentral.
GACGAACGCUGGCGGCGUGGAUUAGGCAUGCAAGUCGGACGGUAGGGCUUUAUCGUAAGAUAGAGUUUGAGAGUGGCGAACUGGUGAGUAAACACGUAGGUUAUCUACCCUCCAAGACGGGGACAACCCAGGGAAACUUGGGCUAAUACCGGAUGUGAGCAACUUUUAGUUGUUUGAAAGGUGGCGUAAGCUGUCGCUUGGGGAUGAGCCUGCGUCCUAUUAGUUAGUUGGUGAGGUAACGGCUCACCUAGGCAAUGAUAGGUAGGCGGCCUUAACGGGUGGUCGCCCACACUGGGAUUGAGAUACGGCCCAGACUCCUACGGGAGGCAGCAGUCGAGAAUAGUCUACAAUGGUCGGAAGACUGAUAGUGCGACGCCGCGUGAACGAUGAAUCCCUUCGGGGUUAAAGUUCUUUUAUAUGUGAGCAGUGCUUCUUAUAUUAACAGUAUGGGGAGAGAGAUAUUAGCAUAUGAAUAAGCAACGGCUAACUCCGUGCCAGCAGCCG